AACGCGAAGAACCUUACCUGGGCUCGAAAUGCUAUGGACAGUCUGUGAAAGCAGAUCUUCCCGCAAGGGACCGUAGUAUAGGUGCUGCAUGGCUGUCGUCAGCUCGUGUCGUGAGAUGUUGGGUUAAGUCCCGCAACGAGCGCAACCCUUGUCCUGUGUUGCCACUCCGUAAGGAAGCACUCUCAGGAGACCGCCAGCGAUAAGUUGGAGGAAGGUGGGGAUGAUGUCAAGUCAUCAUGGCCUUUAUGUCCAGGGCUACACACGUGCUACAAUGGACGGUACAAAGCGCUGCAAACCCGCGAGGGGGAGCCAAUCGCAAAAAACCGUUCUCAGUUCGGAUCGCAGGCUGCAACUCGCCUGCGUGAAGCUGGAAUCGCUAGUAAUGGUGUAUCAGAACGAUACCGUGAAUACGUUCCCGGGCCUUGUA
RNAcentral lists this ribosomal RNA (427 nucleotides) under uncultured Acidobacterium sp. RNAcentral describes it as "bacterial SSU rRNA". It matches the Rfam family "Bacterial small subunit ribosomal RNA", at positions 958 to 1385 of the family's 1533-position model. Lineage: Bacteria; Pseudomonadati; Acidobacteriota; Terriglobia; Terriglobales; Acidobacteriaceae. The record is from RNAcentral.